CACAUUUCUAUGAUACCUGAUCUGUAUCACAAUAUAUAGGUUUGCUAACAAGUGGCCAGCAGUAGUGUUGCAAAAAAAGUACCUUUGAUGAUAUUUCAUUUAUAUAUUUUAUUUAUAAAAAUAUUUAAUACAGAAAACAUGAAAAAUAAUUAAACAUCUAUACAUCUGGUAACAUUUUAAGUUGAAUUUUUUAAAUCAAAUCAACUGCUUCCAGUCAGUUUGUAGUUUCUUGGUUUUUUUUUAAUGUUUUUAAAAAAAUAAUAAUUUUAAAAAGUAAUAAAAAGAUACUAAAGCAUAUUCUGAAAUAAUUUAUCACAAUAUCAUGUCACAUUAUAUCAUAAUAAUACCAUGUUAACACACUGGGUGGCUGCUUCAUUUUCUUCCACGCUCAUCUAGAUAAACAGUGGUGUGCUGUAGCAAGCGGUCAGCGGGCAGGAAGCAAGCGGCGAGGGGUGACUGUGACUCAACCUCGACAGAUUGCUGAGAAGUAACUGAGGGGAGAGAGUACAGAUGCCUCUCCUGCAUCAAGUGCUACUGAACCUGAGGAGCCGACCUACCAGCUACCACAGAGAGAGAGACACCCGCCAAGGCGCAUCACCUACGAUCAGCUGGGUACUCCGUCCUGCUAUAGUAUCCAGCCACAGCCGCAGUUGUUGCCUUUCUACCCUGCACCAGGACUGGUCCCAUGGUUGCCACCCUUGCAGCCAUACUACCUUCAGCCACCCUGUAUGUAUGGACUCCAGCAAACGUGAGUUUACAGAUGUGACAUACUGAAAUAGAACCAUGAACUACUAAUGGACUGUUUUCAUAGACUGUUUUCACGGGCAGUUGAAAUGAACUUUGAAUUUGCAGACUGCACAGAUCAUUGAAACCGAUGGACUGUUGAUCAAGAGUAUGUGCAAAGACUCUCUAUGGACUGUUUAUACAGUAGCCAG
Molecule: long non-coding RNA, 935 nt
Organism: Ictalurus punctatus (channel catfish)
Lineage: Eukaryota; Metazoa; Chordata; Actinopteri; Siluriformes; Ictaluridae
Source: Ensembl